CAGCGCCGCGGUAAUACGAAGGGUGCAAGCGUUAAUCGGAAUUACUGGGCGUAAAGCGUGCGUAGGCGGUUUGUUAAGUCUGUUGUGAAAUCCCCGGGCUCAACCUGGGAAUGGCAAUGGAUACUGGCAAGCUAGAGUGUGUCAGAGGAUGGUGGAAUUCCCGGUGUAGCGGUGAAAUGCGUAGAGAUCGGGAGGAACAUCAGUGGCGAAGGCGGCCAUCUGGGACAACACUGACGCUGAGGCACGAAAGCGUGGGGAGCAAACAGGAUUAGAGACCCCUGUAGUCCCUGUCUCUUAUACA
Molecule: ribosomal RNA, 301 nt
Filed under: uncultured bacterium
Lineage: Bacteria
Description: partial 16S ribosomal RNA
Rfam family: Bacterial small subunit ribosomal RNA
Source: RNAcentral